This 234-nucleotide long non-coding RNA is filed under the name Lathyrus oleraceus (garden pea). Its description in RNAcentral is "Pisum sativum (pea) long non-coding RNA (PSAT_LNC032280)". The record is from RNAcentral. Lineage: Eukaryota; Viridiplantae; Streptophyta; Magnoliopsida; Fabales; Fabaceae.
AUUGAUAUCCAUAUUAUUUGAUAUUUUAUCUAGAUCCAAAUUUAGUUUUACUUUUCCCCCUAAUCAUUAAAGUAUCAUCCGCCUUAGCUUUACGCAGUAACCCUAAAAAAAUGGUAGAUCGAUUCAUUAAGUCCCUGUGGGAUCGAUAUCUUUUAAAACUACGCGAUUAGACUGUGCGCUUGCAGUUAGUACCCCGAUAGACUCAUAAAGUCGCGAUCAGGUGGAAGAGCUUUG